RNAcentral lists this ribosomal RNA (448 nucleotides) under uncultured Anaerolineaceae bacterium. RNAcentral describes it as "bacterial SSU rRNA". It matches the Rfam family "Bacterial small subunit ribosomal RNA", at positions 919 to 1382 of the family's 1533-position model. Lineage: Bacteria; Bacillati; Chloroflexota; Anaerolineae; Anaerolineales; Anaerolineaceae. The record is from RNAcentral.
ACCCGCACAAGCAGCGGAGCGUGUGGUUUAAUUCGUUGCUACACGAAGAACCUUACCUGGGUUUGACAUAUAAGUUGUAGGGAACUGAAAAGGGACCGACCUUCGGGGAGCUUAUACAGGUGUUGCAUGGCUGUCGUCAGCUCGUGUCGUGAGAUGUUCGGUUAAGUCCGCUAACGAGCGCAACCCUCGCCGUAUGUUACAAGUGUCAUACGGGACUGCCGGUAAAAGCCGGAGGAAGGUGAGGAUGAUGUCAAGUCAGCAUGACCUUUAUAUCCAGGGCUACACACACGCUACAAUGGUCUGUACAAUUGGUUGCCAAGCCGCGAGGCGGAGCCAAUCCGUAAAGCAGGCCUCAGUUCAGAUUGCAGUCUGCAACUCGACUGCAUGAAGCCGGAGUUGCUAGUAACCGCAGGUCAGCAAUACUGCGGUGAAUACGUUCCCGGGUCUU